GGGACCUCAGAUCAGGCAAGACUACCCGCUGAGUUUAAGCAUAUCACUAAGCGGAGGAAAAGAAACUAACAAGGAUUC
This 78-nucleotide ribosomal RNA is filed under the name Drepanolejeunea vesiculosa. RNAcentral's name for it is "partial 26S ribosomal RNA". It matches the Rfam family "Eukaryotic large subunit ribosomal RNA", at positions 1 to 77 of the family's 3401-position model. Lineage: Eukaryota; Viridiplantae; Streptophyta; Jungermanniopsida; Porellales; Lejeuneaceae. The record is from RNAcentral.